CACAGAUCCUUUCAUAGAUUACAGAUAUUUAGCAAAUGGGUUUGAUGAGCACCACAUAAAUCCUAGCAGUCAGAGCACUACUGUCUUUCUUAUUUUUCUUUAUUUUUUGGCAAAAACUAUAAGUGAAGGAGUUGGGUUCUAAUGAUGCAGCUUCACCUUGGAUAGGGAUUAUGAGCAACUAAAGAUGGCAUGGCACCUCUGUGGCUUUUCCUGGGUUUGUUAGGUGGAUGGACUCACAUUCAAAUGGUGGUGGGCUAAUGGCUAAUCUUAUUGAUUGGUGUACAGGUGAGGAGCUUGCUUGGGCUGCAUGUGUUUGUUAUUUUAUCUGGCAUGCGAAAAAUCAAUUGGUUUUUAUUGGCCAUUCUUGGUUGUCUUAUGAGAUUGUGAAUAGAGUCGAGUAUCUCUUGCUUGGAUUUUAGCAGACUAGAGUGGAUGAUGUUGAUGUUCAGGUGGACACCAAUCGCCCAACAAAUUGCAGGUGGACUCUUCCUCCAAAAGGUUGGUGAAACUUAUUGGGAGCAUUUUUUUCGUGAUGAUUAGGUGAGUAUUGGCUUCAGCUUUGAAGAGAAUGCAUGGGUCUUGGGCUGUGAUGUUGCAGACGCUAUGGCUAUUUUUUACGGGUUUUAGCUGGCGAUUAAUUUAGGUUUUAAGCAGUAAUUAUAGAAUUAGAUUGCUUAAAAGUUAUUGAGUUAUUAUGGUCCAUAGAUUUUUUCCAGAAUGGCCUUAUUAUGUGUUCCAAGAUUGUUUAGAUUUCGCUUAGCUGCUGGAUUCCUAUUCUUGGUCUUUUGUGCUUCCAUCUGGCAACUCAAUUACUCAUGCUAAGGCAAAGCUUACUCUUGUAAGUGAUGGUAAGAAUGAGUGCAUAUGUAUAGAAG
This 875-nucleotide unclassified non-coding RNA is filed under the name Hevea brasiliensis (rubber tree). Lineage: Eukaryota; Viridiplantae; Streptophyta; Magnoliopsida; Malpighiales; Euphorbiaceae. The record is from RNAcentral.